GACGAACGCUGGCGGCGUGCCUAAUACAUGCAAGUCGAACGCUUCUUUCCUCCCGAGUGCUUGCACUCAAUUGGAAAGAGGAGUGGCGGACGGGUGAGUAACACGUGGGUAACCUACCCAUCAGAGGGGGAUAACACUUGGAAACAGGUGCUAAUACCGCAUAACAGUUUAUGCCGCAUGGCAUAAGAGUGAAAGGCGCUUUCGGGUGUCGCUGAUGGAUGGACCCGCGGUGCAUUAGCUAGUUGGUGAGGUAACGGCUCACCAAGGCCACGAUGCAUAGCCGACCUGAGAGGGUGAUCGGCCACACGGGGACUGAGACACGGCCCAGACUCCUACGGGAGGCAGCAGUAGGGAAUCUUCGGCAAUGGACGAAAGUCUGACCGAGCAACGCCGCGUGAGUGAAGAAGGUUUUCGGAUCGUAAAACCCUGUUGUUAGAGAAGAACAAGGACGUUAGUAACUGAACGUCCCCUGACGGUAUCUAACCAGAAAGCCACGGCUAACUACGUG
Molecule: ribosomal RNA, 508 nt
Filed under: uncultured bacterium
Lineage: Bacteria
Description: partial 16S ribosomal RNA
Rfam family: Bacterial small subunit ribosomal RNA
Source: RNAcentral